Molecule: ribosomal RNA, 446 nt
Filed under: uncultured bacterium
Lineage: Bacteria
Description: partial 16S ribosomal RNA
Rfam family: Bacterial small subunit ribosomal RNA
Source: RNAcentral
CCUACGGGUGGCAGCAGUAGGGAAUCUUCGUCAAUGGGGGGAACCCUGACCGAGCAACGCCGCGUGAACGAAGAAGUUAUUCGUAAUGUAAAGUUCUUUUAACAGGGAAGAAAGAUACGUUUGACGGUACCUGACGCAUAAGCUCCGGCUAACUACGUGCCAGCAGCCGCGGUAAUACGUAGGGGGCGAGCGUUAUCCGGAAUUAUUGGGCGUAAAGGGUGCGGAGAUGGCAUAGUAAGUCUUUUGUAAAAAGGCUGGGCUAAAACCAGUAGGGCAAAAGAUACUGAAAAGCUAGAGUAUGACAGAGGUAAGUGGAACUACAGGUGUAGCGGUAAAAUGCGUAAAUAUAUGUAAGAACACCAGUUGCGAAGGCGGCUUGCUGGGUCGAUACUGACAUUGAGGCACGAAAGCGUGGGGAGCAAACAGGAUUAGAUACCCUUGUAGUC